GGCGGCGUGCUUAACACAUGCAAGUCGAACGAUGAAAGAGAAUCCGAUCUCUUCGGAGUGAAGAAUCUCUGGAUUAGUGGCGGACGGGUGAGUAACGCGUGAGCAAUCUGCCUUACACAAAGGGAUAGCCUCGGGAAACCGGGAUUAAUACCAUAUGAUAUCUAUUAACCGCAUGGUUUAUAGAUUAAAGAAUUUCGGUGUAAGAUGAGCUCGCGUCCCAUUAAUUAGUUGGUGAGGGUAACGGCCCACCAAGAUAGCGAUGGGUAGCCGAUCUAAGAGGAUGACCGGCCACAUUGGAACUGAGAAACGGUCCAAACUCCUACGGGAGGCAGCAGUGGGGAAUAUUGCACAAUGGGGGAAACCCUGAUGCAGCGACGCCGCGUGAGCGAUGAAGGCUUUCGAGUCGUAAAGCUCUGUCCUAUGGGAAGAUAAUGAC
Molecule: ribosomal RNA, 436 nt
Filed under: Clostridiales bacterium oral taxon C86
Lineage: Bacteria; Bacillati; Bacillota; Clostridia; Eubacteriales
Description: bacterial SSU rRNA
Rfam family: Bacterial small subunit ribosomal RNA
Source: RNAcentral